Molecule: long non-coding RNA, 330 nt
Filed under: Bos taurus (domestic cattle)
Lineage: Eukaryota; Metazoa; Chordata; Mammalia; Artiodactyla; Bovidae
Description: long non-coding RNA NONBTAT008362
Source: RNAcentral
CGUUAUCAUCAUCUUAUGCAAGUUUUAAGAGAUGGUUGCAGUGUAAACUGUUAUGUAGUCUGGUUAGGAAAUUUCCAAAGUAAUACGUACUAAAUCAUUAGAAAAAGGCUUGAAAUGUAAAUUUGGUUUUAAAGUGAUUGGUAGUUACAUCCAUGGCUGUUUGUAAAAAGGAAAUGGAGUUAAUAAAAUGCAUAUUUUAUAUUUAGGAAACAUUGUGGCUUAUAAUGAGUCUUUAUAUAAAAUUGAAACCACUGUGUUAUCAAACAGGAAGCAGUUUACCAAAUAUAGUAAGCUCUCAGAAGUAAACUGGCAUCAAUUUCAAUUUCUUUU